GGAGACAGACGGCCGCGCGGCUGCGCCCACCUGGGCACAGACCGUGAGGAAAGUCUGGGCACCACAGGGCGAGGAUGCCAGCUAACGGCUGGUCGGCGAGCCCAGCGCCCCUGCUGCGCGCCUGCAGCGGGGGAAAGCGGCGAAGCCGAAGGACAGUGCCACAGAAACAAGACGGCCUGCGGCCGCGUAUGCCAGGCGUGGCAGGCGGCAGGUCAAGGUGAAACGGUGCGGUAAGAGCGCACCAGGUUCCCAGGAGACUGGGAGCGCUGGUAAACCCCAUCCGGUGCAAGACCCGACAGUGCGUGAGGGCGGCCCGCCCGUUUGCAGCGCCAGGAUGGUCGCUUGAGGCGUCUGGCGACAGGCGUCCCAGAGAGAUGGUCGUCCCUGCCCGCAGGGGCAGGACAGAACCCAGCUUAUCGUCUCCCGGC
Molecule: RNase P RNA, 428 nt
Filed under: Deinococcus sp. SL84
Lineage: Bacteria; Thermotogati; Deinococcota; Deinococci; Deinococcales; Deinococcaceae
Description: RNase P RNA component class A
Rfam family: Bacterial RNase P class A
About the family: Ribonuclease P (RNase P) is a ubiquitous endoribonuclease, found in archaea, bacteria and eukarya as well as chloroplasts and mitochondria. Its best characterised activity is the generation of mature 5'-ends of tRNAs by cleaving the 5'-leader elements of precursor-tRNAs.
Source: RNAcentral